This 1050-nucleotide ribosomal RNA is filed under the name Histeridae sp. BMNH 1274739. RNAcentral describes it as "16S ribosomal RNA". The stretch from base 625 to 1050 matches the Rfam family "Bacterial large subunit ribosomal RNA", at positions 2048 to 2700 of the family's 2925-position model. Lineage: Eukaryota; Metazoa; Arthropoda; Insecta; Coleoptera; Histeridae. The record is from RNAcentral.
CCCGAAUUGGAAGGAUUUACUUAUGAAUUUAUUUUACUGUGGAAUAAUUAUUUACAAUUCUUAAGUGGUAAUGAAAUGUUAUUCGUCUUCUAAUAUAUCUGGUUUCUGGAGAAAUAAUUUUAAUUUACCUGUACAAUUAAAUUUUGCUAAUUUAAUAAUGGAAUUUAUUGUACAUUGAUGUUUAAGGGGAUAAGCUUUUAAACAAACUUGAAUUUGCUUUUUAGGUGUUAUUCAUAAGUAGGGUUAGAAUUUCCUAUCUUUUGUAUUAUGUUAUAAUUAUAUUAUAUUAUAUUAUGAUUUAUAUAGGCUGUUUUUUUAUAUUCAGAAAUUGAAUUAAAUCUUUGUUUUUAAGGUAUAAUGAUUAAAUUAGUAAAUUUUAUUUUAUCAAUAUUUGUUUUCUUUAGGUUAAUAUAAGGAAUUCGGCAAAAAUAUUUCUUGCCUGUUUAUUAAAAACAUGUCCUUUUGAUUUUUAUUUAAGGUCUGGCCUGCCCACUGAGGUUUGAAUGGCUGCGGUAUUUUGACCGUACAAAGGUAGCAUAAUCAUUAGUUUCUUAAUUGGGAGCUUGUAUGAACGGUCGGACAAGGAAAUAGCUGUCUCAUAUUAAAUUUUAAUUGAAUUUUAUUUUUAAGUUAAAAAGCUUAAAUUUUUCUAAAAGACGAGAAGACCCUAUAGAGUUUUAUAUAUUUAAGUUAAUAAUUAAUUGGUAAAUUUUAGUUUAAUCUGGUAAUGUAUUUUGUUGGGGUGACAGAAAAAUUUAAGUAACUUUUUUUUCUUUUGUACAUUUAUAAAUGAAUAAUUGAUCCGAUUAUUUCGAUUAAAAGACUAAAUUACCUUAGGGAUAACAGCGUAAUUUCUUUUGAGAGUUCAUAUCGAAAUAGGAGUUUGCGACCUCGAUGUUGGAUUAAAAUUAACUGUUGGUGUAGCAGCUAGCAUGGUUUGGUCUGUUCGACCAUUAAAAUUUUACAUGAUCUGAGUUUAGACCGGCGUGAGCCAGGUUGGUUUCUAUCUUUAGUUAGAUAAAAUUUCUUAGUACGAAAGGACCAGGGAUU